Long non-coding RNA from Antechinus flavipes (yellow-footed antechinus), 1257 nucleotides. RefSeq lists it as uncharacterized. The transcript is spliced from 3 exons. NCBI's taxonomy places the organism in Eukaryota, Metazoa, Chordata, Mammalia, Dasyuromorphia, Dasyuridae. The record is from RefSeq and is a predicted model, not a curated record.
CGCAGGAUGGGCGUGUCCAUAGAGUAGCCAUAAUUAUUAGCGCACCAAAACCCUUAAACCUGAACGAGUAGGAAUAUGUCAGGUCUUAGCUUCGGAGCUGGUGGGGAAUGUGGGGCAAGUUGGGGGGCUGUUGGGAGAGCAGACGCAGGACAUGGCGAGGGGUCUCCAUGUGAGAACUCUGGUUGCGAAGAAUCGCGUAGGGCUGGUGGGCAGGGUGGCUGGGCUGGGGCACGGCAAGAUCAGCCCGGACGCCUUCCCCACACACGCCCCAGAGGUAGCUGGGGGCCACCUUUCCUCCCCGAGAGGGGCGAGACGGGUCUGAAUCGUGAGCCCAGGGCAGGGUAGGAACGCGCCGUCCCUUCCCUAGGGCUCUACGCUCAAGGCUACGGGAGUCGCCUCAAAAGCGCCAAAGCAGCAGGCACCACAAUGCCCCCCAGAGGCUUCCAGAAAAACUACCGGAAACCAGAAAGAAUGUGGCUUGAAUCUUGCCUCAGAGACGCGCCGGCAAAGCCCAUCGAUUUCUCCGAGCCUUAGCGUGCACAUCUACAAAAUGGGCAUAAAUAAUCGCAUUCCCUUCGCAGAGUUGAAACAUCAUGGGCUGUUCUCCCAGCAGGGAGGGAGGCAGUACCAGCAGAGAUCUCAUUCGUAUGAAAUGUCACCAAUUUUGAAAAAUAGGAUCAUGGAGACCGCCAUGGCUGCCACCUGAAGAGGAAGAGCACAGUGAUAAUAUCUUCAAUAUUGGGUUUGAAUUACUCUUGAAAAUUAGCCUAGAAAUAAAUUUCUGAUAAGUGUACCAUUACCUUCCCAGUAAUUCAGAUUUACAGUUAUUCCUGACCUUUCCUGAUCACCAUCAGCUUCCAAAUCCAAGCAGCUGUCCACUUCCAUCGAUGUUAAUACCACAGAAUUUCUCAUAUCUAUUCCCUUUCCCCAGUGUCCCUAGGUAACUGAUUACUGUGGUACUUUCCUAAUUAGUCUUCCUGCUUCUACUCUCUUUUUCCCAAAUAUCUCCUCCACACAGCUGUCACACUCCCCACUAACUCCCCUUUCACACCAGGCUCUAAUGAAGAAAUGGCCAAAUCUUCUAUCUGCACCUUGAUCCCACCCUAACUUGUCUCCUCCAGCAGAUUGCCCCCCCCAUUAUUACUACUCUUUCUCCAAUAUUUUUUUGUCCUUUGGGUUCCUUUCCUGCUACCUACACAUAAUUCCGAGCCUCUUUUCUCCCUAAAAAAAUUCACUAAAAAUUGACUUCAAAUCCAA